Molecule: ribosomal RNA, 274 nt
Filed under: uncultured bacterium
Lineage: Bacteria
Description: partial 16S ribosomal RNA
Rfam family: Bacterial small subunit ribosomal RNA
Source: RNAcentral
CUACGGAGGGUGCAAGCGUUACUCGGAAUCACUGGGCGUAAAGCGCGCGCAGGCGGCUAUUUAAGUUGGAUGUGAAAGCCUACGGCUCAACCGUAGAACUGCAUCCAAAACUAUUUAGCUAGAGUGUGGGAGAGGGAGAUGGAAUUAGUUGUGUAGGGGUAAAAUCCGUAGAGAUAACUAGGAAUACCAAAAGCGAAGGCAAUCUUCUGGAACACUACUGACGCUGAGGCGCGAAAGCGUGGGGAGCAAACGGGAUUAGAUACCCUAGUAGUCC